RNAcentral lists this small RNA (108 nucleotides) under Wenyingzhuangia heitensis. Its description in RNAcentral is "6S-Flavo RNA". It matches the Rfam family "6S-Flavo RNA". Lineage: Bacteria; Pseudomonadati; Bacteroidota; Flavobacteriia; Flavobacteriales; Flavobacteriaceae. The record is from RNAcentral.
ACUCAACACUAUAUCUUUAAAAAGGAUGAGUCUAUUGUGUUAAAGCGCGCUGUCUUAGAACAGAUACUUGAUCACAUAGUUAGUUCUAAAAAAUGUCUUUUGGAGUUU